Molecule: long non-coding RNA, 300 nt
Organism: Formica exsecta
Lineage: Eukaryota; Metazoa; Arthropoda; Insecta; Hymenoptera; Formicidae
Exons: 3
Source: RefSeq, a predicted model, not a curated record
UAUAAAGCGACGCGGUAGUCGCGGGUCGCGGUCGCGGUACGCGGUAGCAUUGCGACGUCAAGAUAUGAUAAUAAAAGAUUAAGGUUAUAAGGUUAUAUUUAAAUCUGUUGCAGAAAAUAUAUUUGGUGCUAUCGAGGUAAAGCGAAAAGAAGACCGGUAUAUUUUUAUAGCUGGGAUUUCUUCAGCUGGAAUUGCGUACGGUCUUAUACCGUAUGCAAUCCCAGCUGAAGAACUUUGCUAAACAGCGUAACAUAUUGGUUAUAAAGAUUUGGCAGUAACAGAUAAUAGAGGGAAGUGAAA